This 77-nucleotide transfer RNA is filed under the name SAR324 cluster bacterium. RNAcentral describes it as "tRNA-Asp". It matches the Rfam family "tRNA". Rfam says of the family: Transfer RNA (tRNA) molecules are approximately 80 nucleotides in length. RNAcentral also lists the same sequence under 2 other names. The record is from RNAcentral. Lineage: Bacteria; Deltaproteobacteria.
GGGGUCGUAGUUCAGUUGGUUAGAACGUUGGCCUGUCACGCCAAAGGCCGCGGGUUCGAGUCCCGUCGACCCCGCCA